UCCUGACACAGGGAGGUAGUGACAAGAAAUAACAAUACAGGGCUCUCUGAGUCUUGUAAUUGGAAUGAGUACAAUUUACAUCUCUUCACGAGGAUCAAUUGGAGGGCAAGUCUGGUGCCAGCAGCCGCGGUAAUUCCAGCUCCAAUAGCGUAUAUUAAAGUUGUUGCAGUUAAAACGCUCGUAGUCGGAUUUCGGGGCGGGACCGCCGGUCUGCCGAUAGGUAUGCACUGGCGGGCGCGUCCUUUUUCCCGGAGACGGCUGCUACUCUUAACUGAGCGGUGGUUGGAGACGGGAUGUUUACUUUGAAAAAAUCAGAGUGUUUCAAGCAGGCAGUCGCUCUUGCAUGGAUUAGCAUGGGAUAAUGAAAUAGGACUCUGGUGCUAUUUUGUUGGUUUCGAGCACCGGAGUAAUGAUUAACAGGGACA
Molecule: ribosomal RNA, 425 nt
Filed under: Haptophyta environmental samples
Lineage: Eukaryota; Haptophyta
Description: SSU rRNA
Rfam family: Eukaryotic small subunit ribosomal RNA
Source: RNAcentral